UUGACCUCAAAUCAGGUAGGACUACCCGCUGACUU
This 35-nucleotide ribosomal RNA is filed under the name Piloderma sp. UP586. RNAcentral describes it as "partial 25S ribosomal RNA". Lineage: Eukaryota; Fungi; Basidiomycota; Agaricomycetes; Atheliales; Atheliaceae. The record is from RNAcentral.